RNAcentral lists this long non-coding RNA (7498 nucleotides) under Solanum lycopersicum (tomato). RNAcentral describes it as "long non-coding RNA (SLYC_LNC000867)". The record is from RNAcentral. Lineage: Eukaryota; Viridiplantae; Streptophyta; Magnoliopsida; Solanales; Solanaceae.
AUCGCUGCGUUUCUGGGUUUCACCGGACCUGUGCCGGGAUUGAACAAUGAUUAUGAAAUUCGAAUGACGCCGGAGGAAUACACUGUUACCCCCAAAUGGGUUCCGUUUGAAACCACAGUUGCUUUCAAGCUUUUCGAAGUCUCGAGAAUCUUCGAAGCUUCCAUGAAAGGAGAGGAAGAGAACAUUGCUGAUAUUGUUCGUUACUAUAGAUCUGUUGAAAACUGUGAUUUUUUGCUUGUGAGGAGCUGUUCAGAAUUUGAACCAGAAUGGUUGAAAGUUGUCGGAGAUAUUCACCGGAAACCGGUUUUUCCGGUGGGUCAACUUCCGACUACACCGUAUGAAGAUGACAGCACGAAGAUCGAUGCAUGGAGAGAGAUAAAGCUAUGGCUUGAUAAGCAAGAAAAGGGGAAAGUUAUUUACGUUGCAUUUGGGAGCGAGGCAAAACCGAGUCAAAAUGAACUUACUGAGUUAUCUCUUGGGUUAGAGCUUUCUGGGUUGCCAUUCUUUUGGGUUUUAAGAAUUAAAAGAGGGGAGUCCGAUGAUGAAUUGAUUCAAUUACCAGAAGGUUUCGAAGAACGAACAAAGGGAAGAGGAAUAGUGUGCACGAGUUGGGCACCACAACUCAAGAUACUGAGUCAUGACUCAGUGGGUGGAUUUUUGACUCAUUCAGGAUGGAGUUCAGUAGUCGAGGCAAUACAAUUUGAAAAGUCAUUGGUUCUCUUAACAUUUUUGGCUGAUCAAGGGAUAAAUGCUAGGCUUUUGGAGGAGAAGAAAAUGGCGUAUUCGAUACCGAGAAAUGAUCAAGACGGAUCAUUCACUCGUGACUCAGUGGCCGAGUCACUGAAUUUGGUACUCGUUAAAGAAGAGGGUUUUAUUUAUCGAGAAAAGAUUAAAGAGAUGAAAGAUCUUUUCUGUGACAAGAAAAGGCAAAAUAAUUAUGUGGAGAAUUUGUUAAGUUUUCUUCAAGACUAUGAAAAGAUUAAAGCAUGAAAUUGUAAGAAACAUUUAGUUUUUCGUACACCUUAAUUGUGAUUUCAGAUCAAUUCAUGUACACUUCAAUUGUUCUAUGAAGUAUAAAUAAAUCAAAUUUGGCCAAAAGAGUGUGGUGCACUCCUUGGCCCUCUCUUAUAAGUAAAAGAUUUUGUGUGGGUUACACUUUUCUGCUAAAAAUAUAUGUCGCAUUUCUAAAAAAAUCAUAAUAAAGCAAAAAUGGUACGCAUUCUAGAUUUACGUGCUAGAAUCAAGUAUAAAUUGAUAAAUGUGAUUGUGUUAACAUCAUGACACUCAUGAUAGAUUUAUAUGUCACACUCGUGGGUGCCUAAUAUCUUCCCACCAAAAAAAAAUUUUAAAAUGAUAUGAAUCCACUUCCAUCUGCUAUUGUGGAUAUUGUAGUAGGGAUAAUGCACAAGUACUCCACAAUUUAUUUUUAAAAUCUCAAAGAUACAUUUAUAUUAUACUAAGGUCUUAUUGCCCCUAAAUUUAUUUUAUUAAUAAUUAUCUACCCUUUUUCGGCCUACAUGGUACUAUCUUGUGGGUCACAUGUUGGUUGACUUUUUUUUCAAGCUAUUGACACGUAGACAGAAAAGGGGUAAAAAAUUAUUUAUAAAAUAAGUUUAGGGGUAAUAGGACCUUAGUGUAGUAUAAGUGUGUCUCUGAGAUUUCGAGUAUAGAUCCUAGUAUUUGGAGCUUUCAAAGCUCAUAGUUCAAAAGGGUCACACAAUUUCCUUCAUUUCUAUUUCUAAAAACAUUACCGUCUCCCAAAACUUUCCAAAAUCUAGCCUCCUACUUAAGUUGUGUAAAAAUUCCUCUGCCCCACGUCAAAAAGUUACCAAAAAAUGCAUAGAACGCCAAUGAUUUGCUCAAGAUGGACUCAAAAAAACUAAGGCUAGAUUUUCGAAGAUUCAACUCUGUUAUUGUGUUCUUUCUGUUGCAUCAAAAUUCAACAUUCCAAUGAGUUAUUUUAGCAUAUUCCCCGUUAUGUAUCUGGGUUCCACCAGACUUGUGUCGUGAUUGAACAACGACUAUGGGAAUUCGGAAGAUGCUAGAGGAAUUCAUCGUUUCCCCAAAAUGGGUUCCAUUUGAAAGCAGGGUUGCUUUCGGAGUUGAAAUGGAUGAAAUUUUGUGACCCUUACCAACUAUGAGCUUUGAUAACUCUAAAAAGGGAAUCAUAUGACCAAAAGCUACUCAUGGAAAUACUGCAAUAUGAAACUUUUUGCUAUUUUCACGAAUAAAUUUUUGUGUCUGUGAUGCUAUUGGAGGUAUUUUAAUUAGCAACUAGUCAACUAUUAUCCAAAAGAUACCAUUUUCACAGGAUGGGGUAGUCCAAUUCAGUGCUUUCAUGACCCAUUUACAAGUUACAACACACCAAUUUUUUUUUUUCUGUUUCGCUAUAAAUAUGCCACAAAAAAUUAGUCUAUUAACUUUUGAAAAUAUUUGUAAUAUCUUGGAAUAACUGUAAAUAUUUUUAUUUUAAAAUAUAACGAAAGAUCAAAAUGAUCUAUUUCACAUCAAAGAUCCUUUUGCCUUGCUAAAAAGACACUUAAAAUGCAAUUAGAUUGAUAACAUUUUAGAAUCUUUUUAUUGGAAAAAACAACCAACUACAUAUUAAAAAAAUUGAUACUAAUUGAUUCGAUAAAACAAUAUAAGAAUAAGAAAAUACAAUUGGGAGUUGAAAAAUGAUUCUUUCUAAUCUUAAUAAUUGGACUGAUCUUGAGAUUCACGAAUUUAUAUAGUCCAUGAAACAGAGCUCUAUGUACAUCACAAAAAAUUAGUCUAUUAACUUUUGAAAAUAUUUGUAAUAUCUUGGAAUAACUAUAAAUAUUUUUAUGUCAAAAUAUAACGAAAGAUAUAAAUGAUCUAUUUCACAUCGAAGAUCCUUUUACCUUGCUAAAAAGACGCUCAAAAUGCAAUUAGAUUGAUAACAUUUUAUAAUCUUUUUCUUGGAAAAACAACCAACUACAUAUUAAAAAAAUUGAUACUAAUUGAUUCGAUAAGACAAUAUAAGAAUAAGAAAAUACAAUUGGGAGUUGAAAAAUGAUUCUUUCUAAUCUUAAUAAUUGGACUGAUCUUGAGAUUCAUGAAUUUACAUAGUCCAUGAAACAGAGCUCUCUGUACAAAAAUGGCGGAAAACGGAAAAAAAUUGCAUAUUGCAGUAUUUCCAUGGCUAGCUUUUGGGCAUAUGAUUCCGUAUUUAGAGCUAUCAAAGCUCAUAGCUCAAAAGGGUCAUAAAAUUUCAUUCAUUUCGACUCCUAGAAACAUUGAUCGUCUCCCAAAACUUCCACCAAGUCUUAUUCCCUUUUUCAAUUUCGUCAAACUUCCGAUGCCCCACGUGGAAAAGUUACCGGAAAAUGCAGAAGCCACCAUUGAUUUACCUUAUGAGCAAGUCAAGCAUCUCAAACUUGCUCAUGAUGCACUACAAGAAUCAAUUGCUAAGUUUCUCGAAGAUUCAGAUAUUGAUUUUAUACUAUUUGAUUUUGUCUCUUAUUGGCUUCCUUCAAUUGCUUCAAAAUUCAACAUUCCGACGGGUUAUUUCAGCAUAUUCGUCGCUGCAUAUCUAGGUUUCACUGGACCUGUACCGGGAUUGAACAACAACUAUGAAAUUCGGAUGACGUUGGAGGAAUUGACAGUUUCCCCAAAAUGGGUUCCGUUUGAAACUGCCGUUGCUUUCAAGGAGUUUGAACUUUUGAGGAUCUACGAAGGUUGUAAAGAAGGCGAGGAAGAGAACUUUUAUGAUAUUUCUCGUAUGUAUAAGACUUUUGAAAAUUGUGAUUUUUUACUUGUGAGAAGUUGUUUAGAAUUUGAACCGGAAUGGCUGAAAGUAGUAGAGGAUAUUCACCCAAAACCAGUGAUCCCGGUGGGCCAACUUCCGACGACAUCAUAUGAAGAUGACAACACAGAUAUUGACGCGUGGAGAGAAAUAAAAUUAUGGCUUGAUAAGCAAGAAAAAGGGAAAGUAAUCUAUGUGGCAUUUGGGAGCGAGGCAAAACUGAGUCAAAAUGAACUCACUGAGUUAUCACUAGGAUUAGAGCUUUCUGGAUUACCUUUUUUUUGGGUUUUAAGAACUAAAAGAGGAGAAUCUGAUAAUGAAUUGAUUCAACUACCAGAAGGUUUCGGAGAACGAACGAAGGAAAGAGGAAUAGUGUACACGAGUUGGGUGCCACAACUUAAAAUACUGAGUCAUGAUUCGGUGGGUGGUUUUUUGACUCAUGCCGGAUGGAGUUCAAUAGUUGAAGCAAUACAAUUCGAGAAACCAUUGCUUCUGUUGACAUUUUUGGCUGAUCAAGGAAUAAAUGCUAGGCUCUUGGAGGAAAAGAAGGUAGCAUAUCUGAUACCGAGAAAUGAUUGGGACGGAUCAUUCACUCAUAACGCGGUGGUUGAGUCACUAUAUUUGGUACUCCUUGAAAAAGAGGGUGAAAUUUAUCGAAAAAAGAUCAAAGAGGUUAAGAAUCUUUGCUGUGACAAGAAAAGACAAGAUGAUUAUGUGGAAAAUUUGUUAAGGUUUCUUCAAAAUUAUAAAAAGAUAAAAGUAUAAAAUAGGAAGUAACAUUUACAUUUGCAUGCAUUUUUUGAAGAAUUGUGAUUUCAUGAAUAAAGAUGUUUUAUUUUUCUUUUUAUGUACUAUAACAAAAUGUAUUGUAAAGGCGUAAAAAUUGCUUUGAUUUUUAUUUCACUACAUCAAAAAUAAUUAUUAGUGACAAUAAAAUUAAAUAAAUCGAGCACCAUUUUAAGAAAACUCAUUCACUAUCUCUAUCACUAAUCACCCUUUCUUCGUUGUCUCUCUCUCUCUAUAUAACCAUGGUUAGUUGUUAGUUGUCUCUCUCUAUAACCAUGGUUAGUUGUUAGUUGUCGCCAUCACCUCCCCCACCAUCUUGUCUUUCCUAUUCUCUUUCUCUGCCCCUACCAUGCAACACAAAAUACUAUUUUAACCCUUGGUCUUCCCAGCAUCUUGUUUGGAUGAUUGUUAUUCAUUCUAUCGUUGAUUUAAAUAUCAUAUUCUCUUUAUUUUGAAAAUAAUGAUUUGAUGCGAAAUUAAGAAAAUAAAGAAGAUUUUAAAUCUUGUGGUCUCAAAUUAAAUUUACGUCAAAUGUAUCAAAAUACACUUUGAUUUCGUUGUCUUAAACAUGUCAGGUAGAAACUUGAAUUACAUAUUGCCAAAAAAGAGUCAUUCUUUUUUUAAACGAACGGAAUAUUUUUUUUAUUGUUACUUAAACUUUAUUGUAUAGUAUUAUUUGAAUAAGUCAUUUAAUAACGAUGAAGAGUUUCAUUUUACCAAGACUCAGUGGAUGGAUUUUGACUCAUUCGGAAUGUAGUUCAAUAGUUGAAGCAAUACAAUUUGAGAACCCAUUGGUUUUGUUGAUAUUUUUGGCUGAUCAAGCGAUAAAUGGUUGGUUCUCGAAGGAGAAUAAGAUAUAUUCAAUACCAAGAAAUUAAAUGAUUGGGAUGGAUCGUUCAUUCUUAACGCGGUGAUCGAGUCACUAAGUUUGGUACUCGUUGAAAAAAAAGGUGAAAUUUACCGAGAAGAGAUUAAAGAGGUGAAAGAUCUUUUUUGUGACAAGAAAAAACAAGAUAAUUAUGUGGAGAAUUUGUUAAAUUUUCUUCAAAAUUUAUAAGAUGAUUAAAGCAUGAAAUGGGAAGAAAAACUAGGGUUUUUGCAUUUACAUUUCCUUAAUUUUGAUUUCAGAUCAAUUUAUAUACACCUUGAUUAUUUUAUCGGAUAUCAAUUAUGUCCACCACAAAGGUCACUCAUUAUGCAAGUGGAUUGACAAACAUGUGAAAAUAUCUUCUUUAUGAAAAAUCAAUCAGCCAACCAUCAAGAUAAAAAUACAGUACACUAAAUUAAUGACAAAUACUAAUAGACCUCUAACAGAUCACACAAAAAUGGCGAAAAAUAGCAAAAUGUUGCAUAUUGGAGUAUUUCCAUGGUUAGCUUUUGGUCAUAUGAUUCCGUAUUUAGAGCUUUCGAAGCUAAUUGCUCAAAAGGGUCAUAAAAUUUCUUUUAUUUCGACUCCCAGAAACAUAGAUCGUCUCCCAAAACUUUCCCCAAAUCUUACCCCGUUUUUAAAUUUUGUCAAACUUCCAAUGCCUUAUGUGGAAAAUUUGCCGGAAAAUGCAGAAGCCACUACCGAUGUAACUUAUGAGCAAGUCAAAUACCUCAAACUUGCUCAAGAUGGACUCGAAGAAUCCAUGGCUAAGUUUCUCGAAGAUUCAGAUCUUGAUUUUAUACUAUUCGAUUUUACUUCUUACUGGGUUCCUUCAAUUGCUUCAAAAUUCAACAUUCGGUCAGGUCAUUUCAGCAUAUACAUCGCUGCGUUUCUGGGUUUCACCGGACCUGUACCGGGAUUAAACAAUGAUUAUGAAAUUCGUACAACGCCGGAGGAAUAUACCGUUCCCCCAAAAUGGGUUCCGUUUGAAACUACAGUUGCUUUCAAGCUUUUCGAAGUCUUGAGAAUCUUCGAAGCUACCAUGAAGGGAGAGGAAGAGAACAUUGCUGAUAUUACUCGUUACUAUAAAUCAGUUGAAAAUUGUGAUUUUUUGUUUGUGAGGAGCUGUUCGGAAUUAGAACCAGAAUGGUUGAAAGUUCUCGGAGAUAUUCACCGGAAACCGGUUUUGCCGGUGGGUCAACUUCCGACAACACCGUACGAAGAUGACAGCACGAAGAUCGAUGCGUGGAUAGAGAUAAAACUAUGGCUUGAUAAGCGAGAAAAGGGGAAAGUGAUUUAUGUUGCAUUUGGUAGUGAGGCAAAAUCGAGUCAAAAUGAGCUCAUUGAGUUAUCACUUGGAUUAGAGCUUUCUGGGUUAUCAUUUCUCUGGGUUUUAAGAACUAAAAGAGGAGAAUCGGAUGAUGAGUUGGUUCAAUUACCAGAAGGAUUCGAAGAUCGAAUGAAGGGAAGAGGAAUAGUGUGCACGAGUUGGGCACCACAACUCAAGAUAUUGAGUCAUGACUCAGUUGGUGGAUUUUUGACACAUUCAGGAUGGAGUUCAGUAGUCGAGGCAAUACAAUAUGAGAAGCCAUUAGUUCUCUUAACAUUCUCUGCUGAUCAAGGGAUAAAUGCUAGGCUCUUGGAGGAGAAAAAGAUAGCGUAUUCAAUACCAAGAGAUGAUUGUGACGGGUCAUUCACUCGUGACUCAGUAGCUAAGUCACUAAAUUUGGUACUCAUUGAAAAAGAGGGUGAAAUUUAUCGAGAAAAAGUUAAACAGAUGAAAAGUCUUUUUUGUGACAAAGAAAGACAAGAUAAUUAUGUGGAUAAUUUAUUGUGUUAUCUUCAAAAUUAUAAGAAGACUAUUCCAUAAGAAGCGCAAAAAAAACUUGGUUUUGCUUUAUUAUUUGAAUAAUAUAAUAAUAAUGGUUAAUUUGUCCUCAAUUAUUUUAUUGAGUUUUAAUUAUUUUUUUAAAUAUAUAGGAAAAUAAUUGUCUAAACUAUUUAUAGUCUUUAUUGAGUUGAUAUCAUUGUAUUUAAAAGGCUUAAGUCAUAUGUAGCCAUUUAAAGUUGUCCGCAUA